Molecule: small RNA, 76 nt
Filed under: Tenacibaculum soleae
Lineage: Bacteria; Pseudomonadati; Bacteroidota; Flavobacteriia; Flavobacteriales; Flavobacteriaceae
Description: Flavo-1 RNA
Rfam family: Flavo-1 RNA
Source: Rfam by way of RNAcentral
UUUUUGCGUUAGGGAUUGAAACGGCAUCCUUUUUAUUUUUUUUAAUAAAAAGAUAUAGUGUAAAGCCCGCUCGAAC